UACGUAGGGGGCAAGCGUUGUCCGGAAUCAUUGGGCGUAAAGAGCGCGUAGGCGGUCCGGUAAGUCCGCUGUGAAAGUCAAGGGCUCAACCCUUGAAUGCCGGUGGAUACUGUCGGGCUAGAGUCCGGAAGAGGCGAGUGGAAUUCCUGGUGUAGCGGUGAAAUGCGCAGAUAUCAGGAAGAACACCCGUGGCGAAAGCGGCUCUCUGGAACGGUACUGACGCUGAGACGCGAAAGCGUGGGGAGCGAACAGG
RNAcentral lists this ribosomal RNA (253 nucleotides) under uncultured bacterium. Its description in RNAcentral is "partial 16S ribosomal RNA". It matches the Rfam family "Bacterial small subunit ribosomal RNA", at positions 524 to 776 of the family's 1533-position model. The record is from RNAcentral.